This 722-nucleotide ribosomal RNA is filed under the name uncultured Bacteroidales bacterium. RNAcentral describes it as "bacterial SSU rRNA". It matches the Rfam family "Bacterial small subunit ribosomal RNA", at positions 34 to 745 of the family's 1533-position model. The record is from RNAcentral. Lineage: Bacteria; Pseudomonadati; Bacteroidota; Bacteroidia; Bacteroidales.
CGCUAGCUACAGGCUUAACACAUGCAAGUCGAGGGGCAGCAUGGUCUUAGCUUGCUAAGGCCGAUGGCGACCGGCGCACGGGUGAGUAACACGUAUCCAACCUGCCGUCUACUCUUGGACAGCCUUCUGAAAGGAAGAUUAAUACAAGAUGGCAUCAUGAGUCCGCAUGUUCACAUGAUUAAAGGUAUUCCGGUAGACGAUGGGGAUGCGUUCCAUUAGAUAGUAGGCGGGGUAACGGCCCACCUAGUCUUCGAUGGAUAGGGGUUCUGAGAGGAAGGUCCCCCACAUUGGAACUGAGACACGGUCCAAACUCCUACGGGAGGCAGCAGUGAGGAAUAUUGGUCAAUGGGCGAGAGCCUGAACCAGCCAAGUAGCGUGAAGGAUGACUGCCCUAUGGGUUGUAAACUUCUUUUAUAAAGGAAUAAAGUCGGGUAUGUAUACCCGUUUGCAUGUACUUUAUGAAUAAGGAUCGGCUAACUCCGUGCCAGCAGCCGCGGUAAUACGGAGGAUCCGAGCGUUAUCCGGAUUUAUUGGGUUUAAAGGGAGCGUAGAUGGAUGUUUAAGUCAGUUGUGAAAGUUUGCGGCUCAACCGUAAAAUUGCAGUUGAUACUGGAUAUCUUGAGUGCAGUUGAGGCAGGCGGAAUUCGUGGUGUAGCGGUGAAAUGCUUAGAUAUCACGAAGAACUCCGAUUGCGAAGGCAGCCUGCUAAGCUGCAACUGACA